RNAcentral lists this ribosomal RNA (253 nucleotides) under uncultured bacterium. Its description in RNAcentral is "partial 16S ribosomal RNA". It matches the Rfam family "Bacterial small subunit ribosomal RNA", at positions 524 to 776 of the family's 1533-position model. The record is from RNAcentral.
UACGAAGGGGGCGAGCGUUGUCCGGAAUUAUUGGGCGUAAAGAGCUCGUAGGCGGUUUGUCGCGUCGAAUGUGAAAACCCGGGGCUCAACCCCGGGCCUGCAUUCGAUACGGGCAGACUAGAGUUCGGUAGGGGAGUCUGGAAUUCCUGGUGUAGCGGUGAAAUGCGCAGAUAUCAGGAGGAACACCGGUGGCGAAGGCGGGACUCUGGGCCGAUACUGACGCUGAGGAGCGAAAGCGUGGGGAGCAAACAGG